Molecule: ribosomal RNA, 468 nt
Filed under: uncultured bacterium
Lineage: Bacteria
Description: partial 16S ribosomal RNA
Rfam family: Bacterial small subunit ribosomal RNA
Source: RNAcentral
GACGAACGCUGGCGGCGUGCUUAACACAUGCAAGUCGAACGGAAAGGCCCUGCUUUUGUGGGGUGCUCGAGUGGCGAACGGGUGAGUAACCCGUGAGUAACCUGCCCUUGACUUUGGGAUAACUUCAGGAAACUGGGGCUAAUCCCGGAUAGGAGCUCCUGCUUCAUGGUGGGGGUUGGAAAGUUUCGGCGGUUGGGGAUGGACUCGCGGCUUAUCAGCUUGUUGGUGGGGUAGUGGCUUACCAAGGCUUUGACGGGUAGCCGGCCUGAGAGGGUGACCGGCCACAUUGGGACUGAAAUACGGCACAGCCUAAUACGGGAGGCAGCAGUGGGGAAUAUUGCACAAUGGGCGGAAGCCUGAUGCAGCAACGCCGCGUGCGGGAUGACGGCCUUCGGGUUGUAAACCGCUUUCGCCUGUGACGAAGCGUGAGUGACGGUAAUGGGUAAAGAAGCACCGGCUAACUACGUG